GCAGUCAGAGGCGAUGAAGGACGUGCUAAUCUGCGAUAAGCGUCGGUAAGGUGAUAUGAACCGUUAUAACCGGCGAUUUCCGAAUGGGGAAACCCAGUGUGAUUCGUCACACUAUCAUUAACUGAAUCCAUAGGUUAAUGAGGCGAACCGGGGGAACUGAAACAUCUAAGUACCCCGAGGAAAAGAAAUCAACCGAGAUUCCCCCAGUAGCGGCGAGCGAACGGGGAGGAGCCCAGAGCCUGAAUCAGUGUGUGUGUUAGUGGAAGCGUCUGGAAAGGCGUGCGAUACAGGGUGACAGCCCCGUACACAAAAAUGCACAUGCUGUGAGCUCGAUGAGUAGGGCGGGACACGUGGUAUCCUGUCUGAAUAUGGGGGGACCAUCCUCCAAGGCUAAAUACUCCUGACUGACCGAUAGUGAACCAGUACCGUGAGGGAAAGGCGAAAAGAACCCCGGCGAGGGGAGUGAAAAAGAACCUGAAACCGUGUACGUACAAGCAGUGGGAGCACGCUUAGGCGUGUGACUGCGUACCUUUUGUAUAAUGGGUCAGCGACUUAUAUUCUGUAGCAAGGUUAACCGAAUAGGGGAGCCGAAGGGAAACCGAGUCUUAACUGGGCGUUAAGUUGCAGGGUAUAGACCCGAAACCCGGUGAUCUAGCCAUGGGCAGGUUGAAGGUUGGGUAACACUAACUGGAGGACCGAACCGACUAAUGUUGAAAAAUUAGCGGAUGACUUGUGGCUGGGGGUGAAAGGCCAAUCAAACCGGGAGAUAGCUGGUUCUCCCCGAAAGCUAUUUAGGUAGCGCCUCGUGAAUUCAUCUCCGGGGGUAGAGCACUGUUUCGGCAAGGGGGUCAUCCCGACUUACCAACCCGAUGCAAACUGCGAAUACCGGAGAAUGUUAUCACGGGAGACACACGGCGGGUGCUAACGUCCGUCGUGAAGAGGGAAACAACCCAGACCGCCAGCUAAGGUCCCAAAGUCAUGGUUAAGUGGGAAACGAUGUGGGAAGGCCCAGACAGCCAGGAUGUUGGCUUAGAAGCAGCCAUCAUUUAAAGAAAGCGUAAUAGCUCACUGGUCGAGUCGGCCUGCGCGGAAGAUGUAACGGGGCUAAACCAUGCACCGAAGCUGCGGCAGCGACACUAUGUGUUGUUGGGUAGGGGAGCGUUCUGUAAGCCUGUGAAGGUGUCCUGUGAGGGAUGCUGGAGGUAUCAGAAGUGCGAAUGCUGACAUAAGUAACGAUAAAGCGGGUGAAAAGCCCGCUCGCCGGAAGACCAAGGGUUCCUGUCCAACGUUAAUCGGGGCAGGGUGAGUCGACCCCUAAGGCGAGGCCGAAAGGCGUAGUCGAUGGGAAACAGGUUAAUAUUCCUGUACUUGGUGUUACUGCGAAGGGGGGACGGAGAAGGCUAUGUUGGCCGGGCGACGGUUGUCCCGGUUUAAGCGUGUAGGCUGGUUUUCCAGGCAAAUCCGGAAAAUCAAGGCUGAGGCGUGAUGACGAGGCACUACGGUGCUGAAGCAACAAAUGCCCUGCUUCCAGGAAAAGCCUCUAAGCAUCAGGUAACAUCAAAUCGUACCCCAAACCGACACAGGUGGUCAGGUAGAGAAUACCAAGGCGCUUGAGAGAACUCGGGUGAAGGAACUAGGCAAAAUGGUGCCGUAACUUCGGGAGAAGGCACGCUGAUAUGUAGGUGAAGCGACUUGCUCGUGGAGCUGAAAUCAGUCGAAGAUACCAGCUGGCUGCAACUGUUUAUUAAAAACACAGCACUGUGCAAACACGAAAGUGGACGUAUACGGUGUGACGCCUGCCCGGUGCCGGAAGGUUAAUUGAUGGGGUUAGCGCAAGCGAAGCUCUUGAUCGAAGCCCCGGUAAACGGCGGCCGUAACUAUAACGGUCCUAAGGUAGCGAAAUUCCUUGUCGGGUAAGUUCCGACCUGCACGAAUGGCGUAAUGAUGGCCAGGCUGUCUCCACCCGAGACUCAGUGAAAUUGAACUCGCUGUGAAGAUGCAGUGUACCCGCGGCAAGACGGAAAGACCCCGUGAACCUUUACUAUAGCUUGACACUGAACAUUGAGCCUUGAUGUGUAGGAUAGGUGGGAGGCUUUGAAGUGUGGACGCCAGUCUGCAUGGAGCCGACCUUGAAAUACCACCCUUUAAUGUUUGAUGUUCUAACGUGGACCCGUAAUCCGGGUUGCGGACAGUGUCUGGUGGGUAGUUUGACUGGGGCGGUCUCCUCCUAAAGAGUAACGGAGGAGCACGAAGGUUGGCUAAUCCUGGUCGGACAUCAGGAGGUUAGUGCAAUGGCAUAAGCCAGCUUGACUGCGAGCGUGACGGCGCGAGCAGGUGCGAAAGCAGGUCAUAGUGAUCCGGUGGUUCUGAAUGGAAGGGCCAUCGCUCAACGGAUAAAAGGUACUCCGGGGAUAACAGGCUGAUACCGCCCAAGAGUUCAUAUCGACGGCGGUGUUUGGCACCUCGAUGUCGGCUCAUCACAUCCUGGGGCUGAAGUAGGUCCCAAGGGUAUGGCUGUUCGCCAUUUAAAGUGGUACGCGAGCUGGGUUUAGAACGUCGUGAGACAGUUCGGUCCCUAUCUGCCGUGGGCGCUGGAGAAUUGAGGGGGGCUGCUCCUAGUACGAGAGGACCGGAGUGGACGCAUCACUGGUGUUCGGGUUGUCAUGCCAAUGGCACUGCCCGGUAGCUAAAUGCGGAAGAGAUAAGUGCUGAAAGCAUCUAAGCACGAAACUUGCCCCGAGAUGAGUUCUCCCUGACUCCUUGAGAGUCCUGAAGGAACGUUGAAGACGACGACGUUGAUAGGCCGGGUGUGUAAGCGCAGCGAUGCGUUGAGCUAACCGGUACUAAUGAACCGUGAGGCUUAACCUUACAACGCCGAAG
RNAcentral lists this ribosomal RNA (2880 nucleotides) under Escherichia coli. RNAcentral's name for it is "bacterial LSU rRNA". It matches the Rfam family "Bacterial large subunit ribosomal RNA". Lineage: Bacteria; Pseudomonadati; Pseudomonadota; Gammaproteobacteria; Enterobacterales; Enterobacteriaceae. The record is from RNAcentral.